UACGGGGGGGGCAAGCGUUGUUCGGAAUUACUGGGCGUAAAGGGCUGGUAGGCGGCCAACUAAGUCAGACGUGAAAUCCCCAGGCUCAACCUGGGAACUGCGUCUGAUACUGGAUGGCUUGAAUUCGGGAGAGGGAUGCAGAAUUCCAGGUGUAGCGGUGAAAUGCGUAGAUAUCUGGAGGAAUACCGGUGGCGAAGGCGGCAUCCUGGACCGACAUUGACGCUGAGGAGCGAAAGCUAGGGGAGCAAACGGG
Molecule: ribosomal RNA, 253 nt
Filed under: uncultured bacterium
Lineage: Bacteria
Description: partial 16S ribosomal RNA
Rfam family: Bacterial small subunit ribosomal RNA
Source: RNAcentral